RNAcentral lists this ribosomal RNA (468 nucleotides) under uncultured bacterium. RNAcentral's name for it is "partial 16S ribosomal RNA". It matches the Rfam family "Bacterial small subunit ribosomal RNA", at positions 28 to 507 of the family's 1533-position model. The record is from RNAcentral.
GACGAACGCUGGCGGCGUGCUUAACACAUGCAAGUCGAACGGAAAGGCCCUGCUUUUGUGGGUUGCUCGAGUGGCGAACGGGUGAGUAACAUGUGAGGAAUCUGCCCUUGACUUUGGGAUAACUUCAGGAAACUGGGGCUAAUACCGGAUAGGAUCUCCUGCUGCAUGGUGGGGGUUGGAAAGUUUCGGCGGUUGGGGAUGGACUCGCGGCUUAUCAGCUUGUUGGUGUGGUAGUGGCUUACCAAGGCUUUGACGGGUAGCCGGCCUGAGAGGGUGACCGGCCACAUUGGGACUGAGAUACGGCCCAGACUCCUACGGGAGGCAGCAGUGGGGAAUAUUGCACAAUGGGCGGAAGCCUGAUGCAGCAACGCCGCGUGCGGGAUGACGGCCUUCGGGUUGUAAACCGCUUUCGCCUGUGACGAAGCGUGAGUGACGGUAAUGGAUAAAGAAGCACCGGCUAACUACGUG